Molecule: ribosomal RNA, 484 nt
Filed under: uncultured bacterium
Lineage: Bacteria
Description: partial 16S ribosomal RNA
Rfam family: Bacterial small subunit ribosomal RNA
Source: RNAcentral
AUUGAACGCUGGCGGCAGGCCUAACACAUGCAAGUCGAGCGGAUGAAGGGAGCUUGCUCCUGGAUUCAGCGGCGGCCGGGGGGGUAAUGCCUAGGAAUCUGCCUGGAAGUGGGGGAUAACGUCCGGAACGGGGCGCUAAUCCCGCAAACGUCCUGAGGGAGAAAGGGGGGGACCUUCGGCCUCAACGCUAUAAGAUAACCCUAGGUCGGUUUGGCUAGUUGGUGGGGUAAAGGCCUACCAAGCCGACGUUCCGUAACUGGUCUGAGAGGAUGAUCAGUCACACUGGAACUGGGACACGGUCCAGACUCCUACGGGAGGCAGCAGUGGGGAAUAUUUGACAAUGGGCGAAAGCCUGAUCCAGCCAUGCCGCGUGUGGGAAGAAGGUCUUCGGAUUGUAAAGCACUUUAAGUUGGGAGGAAGGGCAGUAAGUUAAUACCUUGCUGUUCUGACGUUACCAACAGAAUAAGCACCGGCUAACUUCGUG